GUCUUCUUGAUAAAAUAGGAAGUCUGACCUGCCCAGUGAAAAUAUUUUAACGGCCGCGGUAUAUUGACCGUGCAAAGGUAGCAUAAUCAUUAGUCUUUUAAUAGGGGGCUGGAAUGAAGGGUUUAACGAAGUACUUACUGUCUCAUUUAAUUUGAUAAUAGAAUUUACUUUUUCAGUCAAAAAGCUGAAAUAUUAUUGGAAGACGAGAAGACCCUAUAGAGCUUUAUAUUUAAUUAUCUAAUAAAUUUUUGUUAUAAUUAUUAUUUAUUAUUUAAUAAAAUAUUUUGUUGGGGUGACAAAAAUAUAUAAUUAACUUUUUUAUUUAUAUAACAUUGAUAUAUGAAAAUUAGAUCCAGUUUUACUGAUUGUUAGAAUAAGUUACCUUAGGGAUAACAGCGUAAUCUUCCUUUAGAGUUCAUAUUCACAGGGAGGCUUGCGACCUCGAUGUUGGAUUAAGAUUAUAAUUAGGUGUAGCCGCUUAAUAAAUAGGUCUGUUCGACCUUUAAAUUCUU
RNAcentral lists this ribosomal RNA (512 nucleotides) under Thecagaster insignis. Its description in RNAcentral is "partial 16S rRNA". It matches the Rfam family "Bacterial large subunit ribosomal RNA", at positions 1819 to 2597 of the family's 2925-position model. The record is from RNAcentral. Lineage: Eukaryota; Metazoa; Arthropoda; Insecta; Odonata; Cordulegastridae.